Molecule: ribosomal RNA, 253 nt
Filed under: uncultured prokaryote
Description: partial 16S ribosomal RNA
Rfam family: Bacterial small subunit ribosomal RNA
Source: RNAcentral
UACGUAGGGUGCAAGCGUUGUCCGGAAUUAUUGGGCGUAAAGAGCUCGUAGGCGGUUUGUCGCGUCGGAUGUGAAAUCCCGGGGCUUAACUCCGGGCCUGCAUUCGAUACGGGCUGACUAGAGUUCGGCAGGGGAGACUGGAAUUCCUGGUGUAGCGGUGAAAUGCGCAGAUAUCAGGAGGAACACCGGUGGCGAAGGCGGGUCUCUGGGCCGAUACUGACGCUGAGGAGCGAAAGCGUGGGGAGCGAACAGG